This 253-nucleotide ribosomal RNA is filed under the name uncultured bacterium. Its description in RNAcentral is "partial 16S ribosomal RNA". It matches the Rfam family "Bacterial small subunit ribosomal RNA", at positions 524 to 776 of the family's 1533-position model. The record is from RNAcentral.
UACGGAGGGGGCUAGCGUUGUUCGGAAUUACUGGGCGUAAAGCGCACGUAGGCGGCUUUGUAAGUUAGAGGUGAAAGCCCGGAGCUCAACUCCGGAACUGCCUUUAAGACUGCAUCGCUUGAAUCAUGGAGAGGUCAGUGGAAUUCCGAGUGUAGAGGUGAAAUUCGUAGAUAUUCGGAAGAACACCAGUGGCGAAGGCGACUGACUGGACAUGUAUUGACGCUGAGGUGCGAAAGCGUGGGGAGCAAACAGG